UGGGGAAUAUUGGACAAUGGGCGCAAGCCUGAUCCAGCAAUGCCGCGUGUGUGAAGAAGGCCUUCGGGUUGUAAAGCACUUUUAUCAGGAGCGAAACGCUGUCGGCUAAUACCCGGCGGAACUGACGGUACCUGAGGAAUAAGCACCGGCUAACUUCGUGCCAGCAGCCGCGGUAAUACGAAGGGUGCAAGCGUUAAUCGGAAUUACUGGGCGUAAAGCGUGCGUAGGCGGUUUCUUAAGUCUGCUGUGAAAUCCCCGGGCUCAACCUGGGAAUGGCAGUGGAUACUGGGAGGCUAGAGUGUGUCAGAGGGUGGUGGAAUUCCCGGUGUAGCGGUGAAAUGCGUAGAGAUCGGGAGGAACAUCAGUGGCGAAGGCGGCCACCUGGGACAACACUGACGCUGAGGCACGAAAGCGUGGGGAGCAAACAGGAUUAGAUACCCUGGUAGUCCACGCCCUAAACGAUGCGAACUGGAUGUUGGUCUCAAUUCGGAGAUCAGUGUCGAAGCUAACGCGUUAAGUUCGCCGCCUGGGGAGUACGGUCGCAAGACUGAAACUUAAAUGAAUUGACGGGGUC
This 574-nucleotide ribosomal RNA is filed under the name uncultured bacterium. RNAcentral describes it as "partial 16S ribosomal RNA". It matches the Rfam family "Bacterial small subunit ribosomal RNA", at positions 355 to 920 of the family's 1533-position model. The record is from RNAcentral.